Long non-coding RNA from Hypanus sabinus (Atlantic stingray), 1228 nucleotides. RefSeq lists it as uncharacterized. NCBI's taxonomy places the organism in Eukaryota, Metazoa, Chordata, Chondrichthyes, Myliobatiformes, Dasyatidae. The record is from RefSeq and is a predicted model, not a curated record. The transcript is spliced from 3 exons.
GACAGUUUCCGUCUGUGUCUGAAUCCCAGAGUGAGGAAUGGGACGGAACAGAGGAAGAGAGGAAGCGUCACUCUGUGUUUGACCCGAGCAAGAGUGUCCCCAGUACUGGAUCAGAAAUGAAGGCGGCUGUUAUUUAAUAACCACGUUGCAAUUCUCCUACGAUAAAGCGAGGCAGAAUUGCUGGGACCUUGAUUCUAAACUUCUUGAAAUAAAUUCAGCAGAAGAAGCGGCAAUUCGCUUCGAAAGUCUUGUACCAGAUGACGGGAUCAGACCCCGAGUGCGGUGUAUGUACACAUGACUCUGAGCUUAAACCUUGCGAGGAGGUUCAUACGCGCUUCAUCUGUGAGAAGUCCAGAUAUUUGUUUCCGGGUAUUUAUGAAAUGAUAAAGGAUCUCUGUCUGCAACCAGUGGGACCGACUUGAAUAUAAUGAUGAAACUCUCUUUCUCCUCCAGUUCUCUUAACCACUCGCUCUAUCUACCCCUUCCGCGCUGCUGUCCUCACCCUGACCAAAUUCGCCACUUUCCUUCUCUCGCAAUGUUACUCACCAUUUUGCCCUCUCUUUACCCUCGUCCCUCGAAAGUGUCGCUCUCAUCCCUCGCCACUCCCGCCUCCUCUGUUUUAUCCCCAUUUUCCUCACCGCGCUUCCUUGCCUCCAUUUCCCCCAAUUUCCCGUUCUGUUCCCGGUCUCUCCCGCGAUUCUCUACUCUGUCUCUAACCACUCUCCCCAUCCCACUGCGUCUCUAUUAUCUAACCCAACUCGCAUCCCGCUUCUCUCUUUAGCUACUCUCACCUCAAUCAUAUGUGUUAAUAUUCUCGAUACCGCAGUCCUGCGGAAAUAGUGUGCACGCAUUCGCCUGAUCUGUGUCCCUCGUGGUUUUGUACACCUCUGUAGGUUCACCGAUAAAUGUCUCAGAGUUACCAAUCUCGCUCCAUAACUCAGCCCCUCCUGUCCCGUCAGCAUCCUCGGAAUUCUCCCUCUGCAAUCUUUCCAGUUCGUUGAGAGUUUUCUUGGAGGAAGGCAAGCAGAACUGAACUCCAUUCUCCAAGUACGGCCUGACCGACGUCAUCUGCAACUGCAACGUGACCUCCGACUCCCGGACUCAGAGUCCUGACUGAUGAAGGCCAGCGUGACAAAUGUCCUGUCUACCUGUAUCGCAUCUUUUCUACCUGAUUCACGGUCUGUUUUAUUAUCUGUGACUUAGACCACCUGAGAUUUGUUCUUUUCAA